CAAAUUAAACUUUAAGUUAAGACUUUCAUUUACACUGAAAAAAGUUUUCGUGCGAUUCGAUAUAAUUUGA
Molecule: transfer RNA, 70 nt
Filed under: Parasphendale agrionina
Lineage: Eukaryota; Metazoa; Arthropoda; Insecta; Mantodea; Mantidae
Description: tRNA-Val
Source: RNAcentral